Molecule: non-coding RNA, 284 nt
Organism: Schizosaccharomyces pombe (fission yeast)
Lineage: Eukaryota; Fungi; Ascomycota; Schizosaccharomycetes; Schizosaccharomycetales; Schizosaccharomycetaceae
Source: the annotation of a GenBank genome assembly
AUCAGUGGAAGAACACCUAUUACCAUAUGUAUUCAGUAGAGUAGGACGACGAGAAAAGUAAUCUCUAUUAUUCUCACUCGUCAUCUGCUGAAACAACAACCCCUUACUUCCGCCAAGAUUGGUAGACGAAGCACUAGACGCAAGACUGAAAGACGUUGGUGAUGUUGCCAAUGGAGGAGAAGCAAUGGGAAUUCCAUUCAAACUAGAGGGAAAUCCAGAAGAGCUAUUAUUAAACUCAUCCACAGAGCGACUGUUUACUCCAGAAGACAAAAAGUUUGGCGUUG